AUUGAACGCUGGCGGCAGGCCUAACACAUGCAAGUCGAGCGGAUGAAGGGAGCUUGCUCCUGGAUUCAGCGGCGGACGGGUGAGUAAUGCCUAGGAAUCUGCCUGGUAGUGGGGGAUAACGUCCGGAAACGGGCGCUAAUACUGCAUACGUCCUGAGGGAGAAAGUGGGGGAUCUUCGGACCUCACGCUAUCAGAUGAGCCUAGGUCGGAUUAGCUAGUUGGUGGGGUAAAGGCCUACCAAGGCGACGAUCCGUAACUGGUCUGAGAGGAUGAUCAGUCACACUGGAACUGAGACACGGUCCAGACUCCUACGGGAGGCAGCAGUGGGGAAUAUUGGACAAUGGGCGAAAGCCUGAUCCAGCCACGCCGCGUGUGUGAAGAAGGUCUUCGGAUUGUAAAGCACUUUAAGUUGGGAGGAAGGGCAGUAAGUUAAUACCUUGCUGUUUUGACGUUACCAACAGAAUAAGCACCGGCUAACUUCGUG
RNAcentral lists this ribosomal RNA (484 nucleotides) under uncultured bacterium. Its description in RNAcentral is "partial 16S ribosomal RNA". It matches the Rfam family "Bacterial small subunit ribosomal RNA", at positions 30 to 507 of the family's 1533-position model. The record is from RNAcentral.